UNGCUGAGCAUUUGGUUAUGACGGGUGG
Molecule: non-coding RNA, 28 nt
Filed under: Rattus norvegicus (Norway rat)
Lineage: Eukaryota; Metazoa; Chordata; Mammalia; Rodentia; Muridae
Source: RNAcentral